Molecule: long non-coding RNA, 188 nt
Organism: Anolis carolinensis (green anole)
Lineage: Eukaryota; Metazoa; Chordata; Lepidosauria; Squamata; Anolidae
Exons: 2
Source: RefSeq, a predicted model, not a curated record
CAGAUCCACAGGCAUCCAAUGAUCUGCCAAGUCUUUGUCAAAUGCUCUGUUAGCACAAAACCAGGAAAAAUCACCCACAGAUGAAAAUAUGAUCAAGAAAGAUGAGAAGCUGUAUGGUCAUGUUCCAGAAGCAUUCUCUCCUGGCGUUUCACCUACAUCUAUGGCAGGCAUCCUCAGAGGUUGUGAGG